CAGCUUUUGCUAACGGAGGAUUUGGUCCGAUACCAUUUAAAGGAGGUACAUCUGAGAGCCUUUACUACAAUUUGUAUGAAAAAGAAGGUACUUCCACUUACCCUACUGACCUGAAAACACGAAGUAGGAGCAGACUUUCCAUCCCCAUGAUGCCAAGGGUUGUGAGAAAGUGACCAUUACAAUGUUCAACUAAAUUAGUUUCAC
Long non-coding RNA from Alligator sinensis (Chinese alligator), 204 nucleotides. RefSeq lists it as uncharacterized. The transcript has 3 exons. NCBI's taxonomy places the organism in Eukaryota, Metazoa, Chordata, Crocodylia, Alligatoridae. The record is from RefSeq and is a predicted model, not a curated record.